GUCUCAGUGGCGCAAUGGUAGCGCGUUGGACUUCUACCCAUUCUACUUCGAAAUACAAGCCAGAAAUAGAUAUCCAAAGGCUGUGGGUUCGAGCCCCACCUGAGAUG
This is a non-coding RNA of Phaeosphaeriaceae sp. PMI808, 107 nucleotides long. The record is from the annotation of a GenBank genome assembly. NCBI's taxonomy places the organism in Eukaryota, Fungi, Ascomycota, Dothideomycetes, Pleosporales, Phaeosphaeriaceae.